This 460-nucleotide ribosomal RNA is filed under the name uncultured bacterium. RNAcentral describes it as "partial 16S ribosomal RNA". It matches the Rfam family "Bacterial small subunit ribosomal RNA", at positions 338 to 795 of the family's 1533-position model. The record is from RNAcentral.
CCUACGGGUGGCAGCAGUGAGGAAUAUUGGUCAAUGGCCGGAAGGCUGAACCAGCCAUGCCGCGUGAAGGUCAGUGCCCUAUGGGCGUUAAACUUCUUUUGUGCGGGAGCAAUAAUGGUCACGUGUGGCCAGACGAGAGUACCGUACGAAUAAGCAUCGCCUAACUCCGUGCCAGCAGCCGCGGUAAUACGGGGGAUGCAAGCGUUAUCCGGAUUUAAUGGGUUUAAAGGGUGCGUAGACUGUGAGGUAAGUCAGCGGUGAAAUGCCCCCGCGCAAAGGGGUGAAGUGCCAUUGAUACUGGCUAGCUGGAAUGCGGAUGCCGUGGGAGGAAUGUGUGGUGUAGCGGUGAAAUGCAUAGAUAUCACACAGAACACCGAUUGCGAAGGCAUCUCACGGAUCCGCGAUUGACGCUGAUGCACGAAAGCGUGGGUAUCAAACAGGAUUAGAUACCCUUGUAGUC